UCCGGUUUGUCACCGGCAGUCUCAUUAGAGUGCCCAACUGAAUGUAGCAACUAAUGACAAGGGUUGCGCUCGUUGCGGGACUUAACCCAACAUCUCACGACACGAGCUGACGACGGCCAUGCAGCACCUGUGUUCUAGCUCUCUUUCGAGCACGAAACCAUCUCUGGUAACUCCUAGACAUGUCAAGGGUAGGUAAGGUUUUUCGCGUUGCUUCGAAUUAAACCACAUGCUCCACCGCUUGUGCAGGCCCCCGUCAAUUUCUUUGAGUUUUAAUCUUGCGACCGUACUCCCCAGGCGGAUGACUUAACGCGUUAGCUGCGCCACCGAAGCUCCAUGAGCCCCGACAGCUAGUCAUCAUCGUUUACGGCGUGGACUA
RNAcentral lists this unclassified non-coding RNA (376 nucleotides) under uncultured Pseudomonadota bacterium. Its description in RNAcentral is "uncultured proteobacterium contains 16S-23S intergenic spacer region". The record is from RNAcentral. Lineage: Bacteria; Pseudomonadati; Pseudomonadota.